UUUGAUCCUGGCUCAGAACGAACGCUGGCGGCGUGCCUAACACAUGCAAGUCGAACGAGAAAGUCCUUUCGGGGGCGAGUAAAGUGGCAGACGGGUGAGUAACACGUAAGGAACCUACCUCUGACUCUGGAAUAACAGGGCGAAAGUCUUGCUAAUACCGGAUACGAUCAUGUGGCGUAUGCCAUGUGAUGAAAGACAGCCUCUGCUUGCAUGCUAUCAGUCGGAGAGGGCCUUGCGGCCUAUUAGCUAGUUGGUGAGGUAACGGCCCACCAAGGCUACGAUGGGUAGCCGACCUGAGAGGGUGACCGGCCACACUGGAACUGAGACACGGUCCAGACUCCUACGGGAGGCAGCAGUGGGGAAUCUUGCGCAAUGGGGGCAACCCUGACGCAGCAACGCCGCGUGGGCGAUGAAGGUCUUCGGAUUGUAAAGCCCUGUCAAGGGGGAAGAAAUGCAUGGGAUUUAACAGAUCCUAUGUUUGACGGUACCCCUAGAGGAAGCCCCGGCUAACUCCGUGCCAGCAGCCGCGGUAAUACGGAGGGGGCAAGCGUUGUUCGGAAUUACUGGGCGUAAAGCGCACGUAGGCGGUCUUGUAAGUCGAGUGUGAAAUCCCUCAGCUUAACUGAGGAACUGCGCUUGAAACUACUUGACUUGAGUACAGGAGAGGAGAGUGGAAUUCCCAAUGUAGCGGUGGAAUGCGUAGAUAUUGGGAGGAACACCGGUGGCGAAGGCGUCUCUCUGGACUGAUACUGACGCUGAGGUGCGAAAGCUAGGGGAGCAAACGGGAUUAGAUACCCCGGUAGUCCUAGCCGUAAACGAUGGGCACUAGGUGUGG
This 835-nucleotide ribosomal RNA is filed under the name uncultured archaeon. RNAcentral describes it as "bacterial SSU rRNA". It matches the Rfam family "Bacterial small subunit ribosomal RNA", at positions 12 to 825 of the family's 1533-position model. The record is from RNAcentral.